GUCUACAGCCAUGCCACUCUGAACAAGCCCGAUCCCAUCUGAUCUCAGGAGCUAAGCAGGGUCGGGCCUGGUUAGUAUUUGGAUGGGAGACCACCUAGGAAAACCAGGUGCUGUAAGGC
Molecule: ribosomal RNA, 119 nt
Filed under: Pteropus alecto (black flying fox)
Lineage: Eukaryota; Metazoa; Chordata; Mammalia; Chiroptera; Pteropodidae
Source: RNAcentral